GGACAAAGCUGAUAGAGUGAGAUCGUGGGCAGCACAGAUAACGGAACUUGCUCCUCUGUGACAUUAUCGGCGGACGGCUGAGUAACACGUGGGUAACCUACCUAUAAGACUGGAAUAACUCCGGGAAACCGGGGCUAAUGCCGGAUAACAUUUAGAACCGCAUGGUUCUAAAGUGAAAGAUGGUUUUGCUAUCACUUAUAGAUGGACCCGCGCCGUAUUAGCUAGUUGGUAAGGUAAUGGCUUACCAAGGCAACGAUACGUAGCCGACCUGAGAGGGUGAUCGGCCACACUGGAACUGAGACACGGUCCAGACUCCUACGGGAGGCAGCAGUAGGGAAUCUUCCGCAAUGGGCGAAAGCCUGACGGAGCAACGCCGCGUGAGUGAUGAAGGGUUUCGGCUCGUAAAACUCUGUUAUUAGGGAAGAACAAACGUGUAAGUAACUGUGCACGUCUUGACGGUACCUAAUCAGAAAGCCGCGGCUAACUACGUGCCAG
This 495-nucleotide ribosomal RNA is filed under the name Staphylococcus arlettae. Its description in RNAcentral is "bacterial SSU rRNA". It matches the Rfam family "Bacterial small subunit ribosomal RNA", at positions 1 to 511 of the family's 1533-position model. The record is from RNAcentral. Lineage: Bacteria; Bacillati; Bacillota; Bacilli; Caryophanales; Staphylococcaceae.